RNAcentral lists this ribosomal RNA (292 nucleotides) under uncultured bacterium. RNAcentral's name for it is "partial 16S ribosomal RNA". The record is from RNAcentral.
GGACUACCGGGGUAUCUAAUCCUGUUUGCUCCCCACGCUUUCGCAGUUGAGUGUCAGUCACUGUCCAGGUCGCCGCCUUCGCCUCUGGUAUUCCUCCCGAUCUCUACGCAUUUCACCGCUACACCGGGAAUUCUACGACCCUCUCCAGCACUCUAGUCUCACCGUUUCUCAGGCACUUCUAGGGUUAAGCCCUAGGAUUUCACCUGAGACAAAUGAGACCACCUACCUGCCCUUUACGCCCAAUGAUUCCGAGCAACGCUUGCACCCUCUGUAUUACCGCGGCGGCUGGCAC